RNAcentral lists this small nuclear RNA (140 nucleotides) under Microcebus murinus (gray mouse lemur). Its description in RNAcentral is "U2 spliceosomal RNA (ENSMICG00000025359.3)". The stretch from base 1 to 90 matches the Rfam family "U2 spliceosomal RNA". From Rfam's summary of the family: U2 is a small nuclear RNA (snRNA) component of the spliceosome (involved in pre-mRNA splicing). Complementary binding between U2 snRNA (in an area lying towards the 5' end but 3' to hairpin I) and the branchpoint sequence (BPS) of the intron results the bulging out of an unpaired adenosine, on the BPS, which initiates a nucleophilic attack at the intronic 5' splice site, thus starting the first of two transesterification reactions that mediate splicing. The record is from RNAcentral. Lineage: Eukaryota; Metazoa; Chordata; Mammalia; Primates; Cheirogaleidae.
AUUGCUUCUCAGCCUUUUGGCUAAGAUCAAAUGUAGUAUUUGUUCUUAUCAGUUUAAUAAAAGUAUUGUAAUAAAAAAAAAAAACCUCUUGGGUUUGAGCAAAAAGUAUAGUAUUACAUUUCUACACUAUUUAAAGAGCA